RNAcentral lists this ribosomal RNA (628 nucleotides) under uncultured Russulaceae. RNAcentral's name for it is "LSU rRNA". It matches the Rfam family "Eukaryotic large subunit ribosomal RNA", at positions 47 to 649 of the family's 3401-position model. The record is from RNAcentral. Lineage: Eukaryota; Fungi; Basidiomycota; Agaricomycetes; Russulales; Russulaceae.
UAAGCGGAGGAAAAGNAACUAACANGGAUUCCCCUAGUAACUGCGAGUGAAGCGGGAAAAGCUCAAAUUUAAAAUCUGGUGGCCUUUGGUCAUCCGAGUUGUAAUUUAGAGAAGCGUCUUCCGCGCUGGACCAUGCACAAGUCUCCUGGAAUGGAGCGUCAUAGAGGGUGAGAAUCCCGUCUUUGGCAUGGAUGCACCAGGGCUUCUGUGAUGCGCUCUCGAAGAGUCGAGUUGUUUGGGAAUGCAGCUCAAAAUGGGUGGUGAACUCCAUCUAAAGCUAAAUAUUGGCGAGAGACCGAUAGCGAACAAGUACCGUGAGGGAAAGAUGAAAAGCACUUUGGAAAGAGAGUGAAACAGUACGUGAAAUUGUUGAAAGGGAAACGCUUGAAGUCAGUCACGUCGACCGAGACUCAGCCUCGCCUUGGCUUGGUGUACUUCUCGGGCGACGGGUCAGCAUCAAUUUUGCCCCUCGGAUAAUGACAAGGGAAAGGUAGCACCUUUAUGGGUGUGUUAUAGUCUCCUGUCGCAUGCGAGGGUUGGGAUUGAGGAACUCAGCACGCGCCUUCUGGCGUUGGGGCUUCGGCCUACGUACGUGCUUAGGAUGCUGGCAUAAUGGCUUUAAACGACC